Molecule: ribosomal RNA, 426 nt
Filed under: uncultured bacterium
Lineage: Bacteria
Description: bacterial SSU rRNA
Rfam family: Bacterial small subunit ribosomal RNA
Source: RNAcentral
GUAGGGAAUAUUGCACAAUGGACGAAAGUCUGAUGCAGCAACGCCGCGUGUGCGAUGAAGGUCUUCGGACUGUAAAGCACUUUUCUGAGGGAAGAGGAAGGACGGUACCUCAGGAAUAAGUCUCGGCUAACUACGUGCCAGCAGCCGCGGUAACACGUAGGAGGCAAGCGUUAUCCGGAUUUACUGGGCGUAAAGCGCGUGCAGGCGGUUUGGUAAGUUGGAUGUGAAAGCUCCCGGCUCAACUGGGAGAGGCCGUUCAAUACUGCCAGACUAGAGGACGGUAGAGGGAGGUGGAAUUCCCGGUGUAGUGGUGAAAUGCGUAGAUAUCGGGAGGAACACCAGUGGCGAAAGCGGCCUCCUGGGCCGUUCCUGACGCUAAGACGCGAAAGCAUGGGUAGCAAACGGGAUUAGAAACCCUAGUAGUCC